Molecule: unclassified non-coding RNA, 1056 nt
Filed under: Bombus terrestris (buff-tailed bumblebee)
Lineage: Eukaryota; Metazoa; Arthropoda; Insecta; Hymenoptera; Apidae
Description: misc RNA ENSBTSG00005034117.1
Source: RNAcentral
CCGCUUCCUUGAAUCGCGACGAUGACCAUUAAGCUUCGAAACCGGAAAGAAUGAAGAUAUAGGGCACACGGAGGAGCUCGUUGAAAAUUCCAUUUGUCCUGGUCGAUUGUUUAAAUUGUCCGCCACGUUUCGCGGAUUUCUGUCGGUGAAUUUUGACUCGGUGGCCUCUCGUUGUACUUGUCAGGACAAUGGUCCAUUAGUCACGUGGAUACGCGGAAAUAUCAGGCGUCGACGUGGAUUGAGUGCCGCUCGAACGUUCGUACUCGACCAACGUGCUCCAGCGAUUGAUUUAGAGCUGAUGUUAACGCGUGCCGAGUACCAGCAGCUUUUUUUAAUCGACCACAAACCGAAAACUCCGUUAAUAACGAUCAAACAUUCUCUGACUGUCGGAGAUGAUCAUCAGUGUUACCACGAUCCGUGAUUACACACCUUUCAAAAUGAUUAAAACGAGAUAAGUUUCGUGGAUUAAAACGAUUAUCAACCGUACGAAUAGUUUAGAUAACAUCGUCAGAAAAACGUGCACGAAUCGAUGUAAUGUUUCGCGAAACAUACAGAGAAUUUAUAUAUUUGGCAGUAUUUUUCAAAAUAUAUAAAAUACGUGGAAGUAUCAAGAUAUUGGAUCGCUCUGCGAGUUCUAUCUCCGUAGAAACAGAUAGUCGUGUGGUGAAAUACGAUGGCAGAUGCGUGCAAUGAUUUGUAACGAAUUCAGGUUUGUGCAGGUUUGUAUCGUCGACGUUAAAGAACAAUCCCGAAACGAGCUUCGUAUCGGCGCUUUCUUUGCUUCUGCUUCAUUUUCACCUUAACCGUACGCGUAUCUUCGCCAGUUUCUCGAACAUUCUAAAAAUACCGAUCGUCAUAACACUGUGCGUACCAUCGAUUCGUUACGAAACUCGGUAGAGAUUUAUCAGCUAUUUCCAAAUAAUCUUUGUGUCUUUCGAUCUAACAGUUGGAAAUUAUGUAAGUACGUUGCUGGUCGUCGAACGAUAGGAUUUACGAAGCGCAAACAUUAGAAAAUCAAGGAAAAUCGAUUUUCCCUCUCGCGUGGCUCUUCAUUGG